RNAcentral lists this transfer RNA (65 nucleotides) under Mniovelia kuscheli. RNAcentral describes it as "tRNA-Leu". The record is from RNAcentral. Lineage: Eukaryota; Metazoa; Arthropoda; Insecta; Hemiptera; Mesoveliidae.
UUUAAUAUGGCAGAAUAGUGCAAUGAAUUUAAGAUUCAUUUAUAAAGAUAAAUCUUUUAUUAAAA